AGUCUAAAACCAAACGAUACCUUCAGGGUCACACCCUAUUCAUUCUGGGCUUUUGGAUCCAAGGUGGUUCCAGAUCCAGUUAAGGCCCAUUUUAUAGCAUUGAAUUCCAAUUUACAUGCGGUCACUUUGCAGCUGCUUGAAAACUGCUUGAACCACUGCUGCUUUGCUGCCGUCGUCCGCCGUUUGUCUCCGGCAGAGUUAUUCGAGUUAAAGGUAGUAAAGAUCCAUGGAUGAAAGUUUAUACGAUGAAUUUGGGAACUAUAUCGGUCCUGAAAUUGAGUCUGAUCAGGAAAGUGAUAGGGAAGAGGAAGAUGAGGAGCUCCCUGAGAGAAGUGAUGAUGAGAGGGCUGCAUCUGAUGGCGAGCAACCUGGUGCAUCGAAUGGAUGGCUGGCCACUCAAGAGGAUGUUGACAUGGAUAACCAAGUUGUCCUUGCUGAAGACAAGAAAUACUACCCAACAGCCGAAGAGGUUUACGGUGAAGAGGUCGAGACAUUGGUGAUGGAUGAAGAUGAACAGCCUCUUGAAAUGCCGAUAAUUAAACCGGUGAAGAAUCUCAAGUUUGAACUUGGGGUAAAGGAUUCGUCCACCUAUGUUUCGACUCAAUUUCUCUUAGGUCUGAUGUUGAACCCAGCAUUGGUUCGAAAUGUUGCUUUAGUGGGACACGUGUAUCACGGGAUGACUUUGUUUAUGGAUAUGCUGGUGGAGCAAACCCACCAUAUAUCUACUUUUGAUCAGAAUAGUGAGAAGCAUAUGAGGUAUACAGACACAAGAAUAGAUGAGCAAGAAAGGAGGAUAUCAAUUAAGUCUGUCCCUAUGUCACUCGUCCUGGAAGACAGCAAUUCAAAGUCUUACCUCUGCAACAUUAUGGAUGCUCCUGGUCAUGUCAACUUCUCGGAUGAGAUGACAGCUGCUUUGAGACUUUCUGAUGGUGCAGUUUUGAUUGUUGAUGCUGUUGAAGGAGUGAUGGUAAAUACAGAACGGGCCAUUCGGCAUGCGAUUCAAGAACGUAUUCCUAUUGUUCUUGUGAUUAACAAGGUGAACAGACUGAUAACUGAGCUUAAAUUGCCUCCAAAGGAUGCUACUUCAAAUUAAAGCACAUAAUGAAGCUGUCAACAAUCAAGUUACAGCUUGCCUCGUCCAUAGCUGAAAUGCACAAGUAUUCGAUCCUGCGUUAGGGAAUGUCUGCUUUGCAACAACAGCAGGUGGUCGUUCACACUGCAGUCAUUUGCCAAACUGUAUGUUAAGCUUCAUGGAGUUGCAUUUGAUGCCAACAAGUUUGCUUCGCGGCUUUGGGGGGACUUCUACUUUGAUCCUGACACAAGAAGUUUCAAAAGAAAAACACCUGCAAGUGGGUCGAAAGAUCUUUUGUGCAGUUCGUUCUUGAACCUCUUUACAAAAUCUAUAGCCAAGUGAUUGGAGAGCACAAGAAGAGUGUUGAAAGGCAACCCUGGCAGAACUUGGUUGUGACGCUUGGCAAUGCAGCUUACCGCCUAAAUGUUAGGCCCUCUUCUGAGGCUGGCUUGUAGUGCUGUUUUUGGCACUGCCACUGGCUUUACUGACAUGGUGGUUCAUCACAUUCCUUCUGCUAAAAGCUGCUGCAGCUGAGGAAAGUGGAGCACAUAUAACACGGUCCAAGGAUUCAGCAAUUUACAAAGCAAUGGAAAAUUGUGACUCCGCUGGCCCUUUGAUGGUUAAUGUGACCAAGCUGUAUCCCAAAUCGGAUUGGUAGUGUUUUGAUGCUUUCGGUAGGGUUUACAGCGGGGAAAUAAUGGCAGGGCAGACAGUACGCGUUUUGGAGAGGGCUAUUCACCUGAGGAUGAAGAGGAUAUGACUGUUAAAGAAGUCACAAAGCUGUGGGUAUAUCAAGCUCGAUACAGGAUACCCAUAAGUAAGGCUCCUCCAGGUGCUUGGGUGUUGAUUGAAGGAGUGGAUGCUUCAAUCAUGAAAACUGCUACUCUUUGUAACUCGGAAUUUGGCGAGGAUGUGUACAUAUUCCGGCCCCUUCAGUUCAAUACUCUUCCCGUGGUGAAAACAGCAACUGAGCCUUUGAAUCCUAGCGAGUUGCCCAAAAUGGUGGAGGGGCUUAGGAAAAUCAGCAAGAGUUAUCCUCUUGCAAUCACAAAGGUUGAAGAGUCUGGUGAACACACAAUAUUGGGUACUGGUGAAUUGUACCUAGAUUCCAUAAUGAAGGACCUUAGGGGCUUUACUCCGAGGUGGAAGUGAAGGUGGCUGAUCCAGUUGUUUCAUUCUGCGAACUGUAGUGGAGUCCGUUUCAAUGAAAUGUUUUGCUGAAACACCUAAUAAGAAAAAUAAAAUCACCAUGAUUGCGGAACCAUUAGAGAGAGGACUUGCUGAGGACAUCGGGAAACAGUGUUGUAAGCAUAGAUUGGCCUAGAAAGAAACUUGUGACUUUUUUCACAAACCAAAUAUGACUGGGAUCUGCUUCUGCACGAUCUAUUUGGGCAUUUGGACCUGAUAAGCAGGGACCUAACAUCUUAUUGGAUGAUACACUCUCCAGUGAAGUGGACAAGAGCUUGUUGAAUGCUGUUAAAGAUUCUAUUGUUCAGGGGUUUCAAUGGGGAGCUCGGGAAGGACCCCUAUGUGUAUGAGCCCAUUAGAAAUGUUAAAUUCAAAAUAGUUGAGUGCAAAGAUUGCACUUUGAGCCACUUAAUCGUGGAACAGGUCAGAUUAUUCCAACUGCACGACGUGUAGCCUACUCUUCUUUCCUUAUGGCGACACCCAGGCUUAUGGAACCUGUGUAUUAUGUGGAGAUCCAAACACCCAUGGAUUGCCUCUCUGCUACAUACACCGUGUUGUCUCGCAGGCGUGGACAUGUUACUGCUGAUGUUCCUCAACCUGGGACCCCUGCCUACAUCGUCAAGGCAUUUUUACCUGUUAUCGAGUCCUUUGGUUUCGAAACCGACUUGAGGUAUCACACCCAAGGGCAGGCGUUUUGUCUUUCAGUUUUUGAUCAUUGGGCUAUUGUUCCUGGAGAUCCUCUUGACAAGAGCAUCGUUUUACGACCACUAGAGCCUGCCCCAAUUCAGCAUCUGGCUCGUGAGUUCAUGGUGAAGACAAGGCGUAGAAAGGGAAUGAGUGAAGAUGUGAGCAUCAACAAAUUCUUUGAUGAGGCUAUGAUGGUGGAGCUUGCGCAGCAGGAUGCUGAUCUUCACCUGCAGAUGAUGUAGAUAUCACAUAGCUGAGGUGGUUUUGUAUGUUAUGUAGCCGACAGCCUCUUGAAAGAUAUUGUAGCCGACAGCCUCUUGAAAUAUGUAAUAGUCUAGUACAAAUUUGGCAUACCAGGAGCAUGAAUAGUUCCUGCGUAACUCUCCCUUUGAGCUCAUCUAUUUGUUGGGAUAAUCCCUUACUCUAACAUUCGAGUAUCUGUGGUGAUUUCCUCUCCAUCAAAGGGUAGAUUCUCGCACGACUGGCAUUAAGUAUGAGAUUUCUGUUGGCUCAGGCGUAUUGAAUUACUGGGCACUUGUUCAAGUUCUUACUUUAUCCUCUUUUAGCACGUUCUUUGGAUUCUAUAUAGCCUAAAGGUUGAACUCAUUUUAGCUUUGCCAGAAGUUCCUUUUUUAUUUUAGGUGAGUUUUGUAACAUUUGAUCCCAGUUUUACAGGAUGAGAGUCUCAUAUUUGGUUAACUAUGUAACCACUAUGUAAGCUAAAGAUUGAAGAUUAUAUGAAAAUUCACUGCUAGAUAACUUGUUUACUACGCGAAAAUGUAAUAAAUUAAUUAUUACUAGUU
Molecule: RNA transcript, 3750 nt
Organism: Nicotiana attenuata
Lineage: Eukaryota; Viridiplantae; Streptophyta; Magnoliopsida; Solanales; Solanaceae
Gene name: 110 kDa U5 small nuclear ribonucleoprotein component CLO-like
Exons: 11
Source: RefSeq, a predicted model, not a curated record